CCUACGGGAGGCAGCAGUGAGGAAUAUUGGUCAAUGGACGAGAGUCUGAACCAGCCAAGUAGCGUGAAGGAUGACUGCCCUAUGGGUUGUAAACUUCUUUUAUAUGGGAAUAAAAUGUUCCACGUGUGGGAUUUUGUAUGUACCAUAUGAAUAAGGAUCGGCUAACUCCGUGCCAGCAGCCGCGGUAAUACGGCGGAUCCGAGCGUUAUCCGGAUUUAUUGGGUUUAAAGGGAGCGUAGGUGGAUUGUUAAGUCAGUUGUGAAAGUUUGCGGCUCAACCGUAAAAUUGCAGUUGAAAAUGGCAGUCUUGAGUACAGUAGAGGUGGGCGGAAUUCGUGGUGUAGCGGUGAAAUGCUUAGCUAUCACGAAGAACUCCGAUUGCGAAGGCAGUUCACUGGACUGCAACUGACACUGAGGCUCGAAAGUGUGGGUAUCAAACAGGAUUAGAUACCCCAGUAGUC
This 460-nucleotide ribosomal RNA is filed under the name uncultured bacterium. RNAcentral's name for it is "partial 16S ribosomal RNA". It matches the Rfam family "Bacterial small subunit ribosomal RNA", at positions 338 to 795 of the family's 1533-position model. The record is from RNAcentral.